RNA transcript from Oryzias melastigma (Indian medaka), 1162 nucleotides. It is a transcript of the gene named glutamate dehydrogenase, mitochondrial-like, with no coding region annotated. Lineage: Eukaryota; Metazoa; Chordata; Actinopteri; Beloniformes; Adrianichthyidae. The record is from RefSeq and is a predicted model, not a curated record. The transcript has 5 exons.
AUGUUUUGUUUUGUUGUGUUGUCCGUCCAGGAAAGCUUAGAAAGAAAAUUUGGGAAGCAGGGAGCAGGGAGGACCCAUCCCCAUCGUACCCACCGCUGAUUUCCAGGCCCGAGUUGCUGGUGCCUCUGAGAAGGACAUUGUACACUCUGGGUUGGCCUACACAAUGGAGCGAUCUGCACGACAAAUCAUGCGCACAGCCAGCAAGUACAACCUGGGUCUGGACCUGCGGACGGCGGCGUACGUCAACGCCAUCGAGAAAGUCUUCAAAGUCUACAACGAGGCGGGGCUUACCUUCACAUAGAUGUCUCAUCCAGACCUGCACUGCUUCACCCUUCCUCCUUACCCCCCAGCUACACCCCCUCCUCAUUGCCCUGCUUCCCUCCACAUUGUAAACCAGCCCUCAGAACAUAUCACUGUUUACCGCUGCUCAUAGGCUCAGUAGCCGGCCUGGUGUUUAUUCUGUAAUCGUUGUGCUACCAUUAUGUUUCCUCACCUCGUCGAGGUAGUCGCUUCUGCCUGAAGCUGCAGUGAAAACUGUCCGCAGGGAAAGUCCAGGACAUUUGUCCCGCCCCCUCCAGCCGUCAGUCAAAUGUUUCUGAUAUUGUGGAAUAGCCAUGUUCUCUGCAUUCUUCCUGUUUGCAGGGCGCAUGUGUGACCUUCUCGUUGCAGUUGUUUAUGUUGACACCACUACAGUUGCCUUAUUGCAGAAAGAAGUCUACUUUAAAUGAAAAGAUAAAAGGCCACUUUAAUCUAAGCUAAUUUAAAGAAGUUUAGAUGUAACUUAAUAUUAAAAAAUAGAUAGGAACUUUAGUUUGUCCUCUAUCUUGGUGUCAAGUUCAGCAGUGGAGUUUCAAACUUUUAGGACUCCUAUUUUCUUCCGUGUUUUUACUGUACUGUGGGUGGAUGUGGGUGGAUGCUCUCCUUCUUCCCUACGUUUUCCUUAUUUUUAUCUUUCCCGUUAGCUUCCGCGCAGCUUCUCCCUAACUGCUCUACUGGCUGAGAAAGAGGAGCAGAGAUGGGCGCAAGGUCACACUGUGAUCCCCCCUCCCCUGUUUUCUUCUAUCCGUCCUAUUAUUCAGCUUCAAAUGUUCUUUUGGAGGAAAAUAUUUUUAUUUUUUUUUUAUUAAUUUUGUUUUGGAAAACCAAUAAACUGUUCAAAAAC